GCGCUUACUUCAGCAGCACAUAGACUAACAUUGGAAUGCUACCGAGAAAAUUAGCAUGGCCUCCAAGCAAUGACAACACAAAAAUUCAUGAUAUAUUCCAUAUUUUA
This is a small nuclear RNA of Perognathus longimembris pacificus (Pacific pocket mouse), 107 nucleotides long. Lineage: Eukaryota; Metazoa; Chordata; Mammalia; Rodentia; Heteromyidae. The record is from RefSeq and is a predicted model, not a curated record.